RNAcentral lists this unclassified non-coding RNA (332 nucleotides) under soil metagenome. Its description in RNAcentral is "partial contains 5.8S ribosomal RNA, internal transcribed spacer 2, and large subunit ribosomal RNA". The stretch from base 1 to 120 matches the Rfam family "5.8S ribosomal RNA", at positions 35 to 154 of the family's 154-position model. The record is from RNAcentral.
GAUGAAGAACGAAGUGAAAUGCGAUAAGUAAUGUGAAUUGCAGAAUUCAGUGAAUCAUCGAAUCUUUGAACGCACAUUGCGCCCGCUAGUAUUCUGGCGGGCAUGCCUGUUCGAGCGUCAUUUAAACCUUCAAGCUAAGCUUGGUGUUGGGUGACUGUCCGCUUCACGGCGGACUCGCCUCAAAAUUAUUGGCGGCCGGUACAUUGGCUUCGAGCGCAGCAGAAACGCGAACUCGGGCCCGUCGUAUUGGCUCCCAGAAGCUAUCUUCACAAUUUUGACCUCGGAUCAGGUAGGGAUACCCGCUGAACUUAAGCAUAUCAAUAAGCGGAGGA